RNAcentral lists this long non-coding RNA (3091 nucleotides) under Homo sapiens (human). RNAcentral describes it as "HSALNT0380331". Lineage: Eukaryota; Metazoa; Chordata; Mammalia; Primates; Hominidae. The record is from RNAcentral.
GCCAAUCUGCCAGGGUCGUUUUCCAUGUUGUGGAGGCUUUGUUCUUUGCUGUUUGCAAUAAAUCUUGCUGCUGCUCAGUGUUUGGGUCGGUGCCACCUUUGAGAACUGUAACACACAUGGCAAAGGUCCGUGGCUCUAUUCUUGAAGUCAGCCAGACCACAAAUGCACUAGAAGGAGCUAACUACAGACACAGUAGGGGCAAGAUGGAGUAGAUCUGCUGGUGGUAGAUGAAGUGGAGUUUGAAGAACGUCUUGAAACAAAAGAAUGAUGUAGAAAGUCACAAAAGGACGAAAGCCUGCAUUUUGGCUAAGUGUCUUUGUUGAAGUUGGUGGAAUGAUGCUGACACAGAAUAGAGCCAUCCUCAGCUGCCUUGCUGCAAAGUCCAUUUUACAUGGGAAGGGCCUGGUAUGCAGGGUGAUGACACCCUGAUGGUGGGGGUGCUGGCUGCAUUCUGACUGCCCCAGGAAAAAGAGGAGCAACUUGUUUUCAUUGUAAAGAAAGACAAAACCCGGGAUUGGCCUGUCUUUGAAAGGACACAGGUGCAGAUUAUUCUCCACUUGUCCCGUUAGGUUGAUCCUGCACUCUGCUGCGUGUGGGAGGCUGACAUUUCGACUGCAUCACUGGGUUUCCUUGCAUGCUGGCUUCAGGGUGGAUUCAGACAAUGGGCAUCAGCAGGAAACUGUGGGUUGGUAUAGAGAUAAAGAUGUCAGGCUGAUCUGAUCUUGCCUGACUGUGGGUCUGGCAGUGGUUGUGUUCCUCUAUGGCCACAGCUCCUGUUGGAUAGGUUUCCAUGGCUCCAGCUCUCCCCAGCCUCUGGUGAAAACACUUCCUCCUCUUGUCACUCCAAGCCAAAAUUGUCAUUGUCCUAACUGUUGCUAUGCCUGGGCAUCUCUCAGCCUUAUCAUCCCUUAUUGGAGCAUUAUUUGUACUUAUGCCUUAUAAACUGCUUUUCCAACCAAUGAUCUGCACUUGGAUGCUUUGUGGGUACCAUCUGUUUCUUGCCCAGAUCCUGAUUUAUACAGUAAUUGGAACAAGGAGUAGCCCCAGAAAUAUAUCCUCAGUAGGAGACUCCAGAAUUAGGUUGUUGACAUACCUGGUGAGUGGUCACAGGAUAUUUUUGCUGGGGGAAAGACAUGCUGGGGAUUCACCAUGUGCAGUGGGGUGCUGGAAGUGGCCAGGCCAGGGCAGCCCAGUGCACAGUAGCUGUUGUGAUAAUGGAGGGUCUGCAGUCAUGGGCCACCUGCUGCAACAGUUCCAGAGAGCUAUGACAGUUUAAUCCAAGCUUAAGAAUUGAACACCUGAUUUAAGGCACAAGAGGAAUUGUGAAGAAACCCUCACAGAGGUCACAAAGGAAUACUGUACCUCCUACAGCCAAAGCAGGUGUGGCUGAAGCGCAGGCCCAAGGCAGACAGUUGGAACCAGUCCCCUUUGUUACAGUAGAGGCCAUGAUUGAAAAGGAGUAGGCUUAAGAUGGGGACAGUUGGACAAACAGAUGAAAUCUUUGAACCUCUAUUCCUGGAAUGUCUUUGCUGCAGAACCAGCCUUGCCUCUUUGAUCAGGGAAGCCAGCGUUCCCUUCCACACUGCUUGUCACUGCAAACAAGGUGGAGCAUGUGAUGUGUCAAAGAUGGGGAAACGAAAACAAGAGUGGAGAUUAUGCUCAUCUAGCAUGAAGGGAAGGAAGGAGGCCAGUGGCAGCUUAUGCUUUUUGAUCUGAAUCAAAUGGCAGUGUAGAAAAGAAGACCCAGGAACCAAAGACACAUGUUUCUCAGAAUUGCCAGUUCAAGCAUGGAAAUUCUGGGACUAUCAACAAUGAUCAUUAUUUAUCUACAGCCAAUAUCUCCAAAAUUGUGUGUUCUCAAUAUCACCUUCUGACGCUUAGCUGUAUGUGACAUCUGCUCUCUGCAGAGCUUCACUACUCAUCUUAGGGUUUAAAGGCAUUAUCUCUGCCCUUAGAGUAGAUGGUACUAGUGGAAGAAGUGAGAUGCGGAGGUUCAGAUGUGCGGUGGAGCCAGUGGAAUGGUACCAGUGGUGAGGAAGUCUUUUCUGGCUGCCUCAGCUGGGAGUGGUUUCACUCUUCUCCAGAACUUGUGCUAGUAGCACUCAUUUUUCUUCCUAGCAUGGAAAGACGGUUUCUGCUGUCAGCAGUCAAAUCUCUCCAAUGCAAACCUCUGCUUCACAUGGAAGGCAAUAGUCUGUUAGCAGAAUGACAUCCACUUAUAAUUAAUGACGUGGAACAAAGGUUGAGCUGUGCUAAUAUGAUGUCCCAUGAAGAGUAUAAGCUGGAGUCUGAGUGUGAGUGUGUAUGUGAAUGAGUGUGGGUGUGUGAGUGUGUAUGUGAAUAAGUGUGUGUGAAUGAGUGUGAGAGUGUGUGAGUGUGUGAAUAAGUAUGUGUGUGAAUGUGUGAUGGUUUGUGUUUCUAUGAGCAUGUGAGUGUGAAUGUGUGUGAGUGGAGUGUGUAUUAGUGUGUGUGAUGUGUGUGAGCAGAGUGUGUUUCUGAGUGUAUGAGGGUGUGUGUAUCUGAAUGUCAGUGUGUGUGUAAGAGGGUUUGUGUGUGUGACUGCAUGUGUGUGAAUGUGAGUGUGAGCAUGUGUGUGUGGAGUGUGUGUCUCAGUGUGAGUGUGUGAGUGGGUGCGUGGUUGGGAGUGUGUGGGAGUCUGUAUGUGUGCGUGAGUGUGUGUUAGUGCGUGUGUUAGUGUGUGUAUGUGUUUGCAUCCACAGAUAAACAGAAUACUCAACAAUAUGGAAAAUGUAGUUACGUCUGACUGAUGGUUUUUGAGAGUGAGUUUUACACAAUUCCUUAGUUUUCUUAGCAGCAGCAUGAAUUUGCCACCUGAGAUUGUGCUAUCUUUAUAUCACAACAAGCGAUUAAUGUUACUUUCACUUUGAAAAUAAAAAGAAGAAACCUGCGUCUUUCCCAUGCUGGGUUUCUGCAGCUGUGUGCCACCUGGCGAUGCCUCAGAGGCUGCCGGCCGCAGGAGGCCACCCCAGCUGCUCUGUGCAGAAGGCAGGGACACAAAACAAGACUGCAGACACUCGCUGCUUCUCCAACGAGGAGGUGGUUGGUAUUGUGUCCGACGGGUAGACAGUCC